CCCGGUGCUUGUGCGAUGGGGCAACACCCGUUCCCAUCCCGAACACGUAAGUUAAGCCCAUCAGCGCCGAUGGUACUAUGCGGGCAACUGCAUGGGAGAGUAGGUCAGUGCCGGGA
RNAcentral lists this ribosomal RNA (116 nucleotides) under Deltaproteobacteria bacterium. Lineage: Bacteria; Pseudomonadati; Myxococcota; Myxococcia. The record is from RNAcentral.